This 547-nucleotide ribosomal RNA is filed under the name uncultured Glomeromycotina. Its description in RNAcentral is "SSU rRNA". It matches the Rfam family "Eukaryotic small subunit ribosomal RNA", at positions 548 to 1098 of the family's 1831-position model. The record is from RNAcentral. Lineage: Eukaryota; Fungi; Glomeromycota.
UUGGAGGGCAAGUCUGGUGCCAGCAGCCGCGGUAAUUCCAGCUCCAAUAGCGUAUAUUAAAGUUGUUGCAGUUAAAAAGCUCGUAGUUGAAUUUCGGGAUUCUUCCGUUGGUCAGGCUAACAAGUCUGUACUAGCGUGUAGAAUCUCUACCUUCUGGGGAACCAUCAUGUUAUUAAUUUAGCGUGGUGGGAAACCAGGACCUUUACCUUGAAAAAAUUAGAGUGUUCAAAGUAGGCUUACGUCUGAAUACAUUAGCAUGGAAUAAUAAAAUAGGACGGUGGUCCUGUUUUGUUGGUUUCUGAAUCACCGUAAUGAUUAAUAGGGAUAGUUGGGGGCAUUAGUAUUCAAUUGUCAGAGGUGAAAUUCUUGGAUUUAUUGAAGACUAACUUCUGCGAAAGCAUUUGCCAAGGAUGUCUUCAUUAAUCAAGAACGAAAGUUAGGGGAUCGAAGACGAUCAGAUACCGUCGUAGUCUUAACCAUAAACUAUGCCGACUAGGGAUCGGACGAUGUUAAUUUUUCUUGACUCGUUCGGCGCCUUACGGGAAAC